GCGGGAUUGGUCUAGCCUGGAUAGGAUAUCAGCUUCCCAAGCUGAGGGUCUCGGGUUCAAAUCCCGGAUCUCGCA
RNAcentral lists this transfer RNA (75 nucleotides) under Nitrososphaerota archaeon. Its description in RNAcentral is "Thaumarchaeota archaeon tRNA-Gly". It matches the Rfam family "tRNA". Rfam says of the family: Transfer RNA (tRNA) molecules are approximately 80 nucleotides in length. Their secondary structure includes four short double-helical elements and three loops (D, anti-codon, and T loops). The record is from RNAcentral. Lineage: Archaea; Thermoproteati; Nitrososphaerota.